Molecule: long non-coding RNA, 984 nt
Filed under: Marmota monax (woodchuck)
Lineage: Eukaryota; Metazoa; Chordata; Mammalia; Rodentia; Sciuridae
Source: RNAcentral
ACAAGAUACUUAGUAAAUUUAUUAUAGAUAAAAUUAUAGACUUUGCUAUACCACCCUGCCCCAUAAAAGCAAAUAAUUCUAUUUUCAAUACUUUGUUUAUUCUACUCUUUCAAGUAAAACCUAUGAACACUUUGCUUCCUCUUGAUUUUGGCUUUACCCUAUCAGUCAUGAUUUUAUGGGCCAUGGACACAAAAUUUCCAAAAGGAAGGUAUAAUUUAGUAGAAAAAAUCUCAGGAAACAAAGAAAUAUUCAGCUAUGAUAUGCUGUAAAGUAAUGAACCGGGCAAAUGUAUGGAGAGAUAGAGGGGUGGAGAUCAAAAGCAACUCAUGUCAGGGAAAUCUAAUUUACCUAAAUUUGCCACCAAUCAAAUAGACCCAAAACUGCCAAUAUCUAAAGCAGGUUUGGGGGCUGUUUACCACAGUGAUUUCACUCAGCCGCAAAGGUAGAGGCCAGCUCUAAUUUUCACAGACAGAGAGGAUAAUGAAUCAUUUGUAAUGGAAAAUCUACCUGCAAAGAGUAUUAGGUAUCCUAAUAUGAAAUACUCUCCAAGUUGCUAUUCAGCUUAGCUGAACUGAUAAAUCCUUGCAGGAAAACAGCUGUAGCAAAAUUUCUGUGGUGAAGUUGCUAUGUAAUGAAAAUUUCCAAGGAAAUCCAAACUUCAGCAAAUGUGUGAUUAGUAAAUUGGUGCACUUCUGGAAGUCAGAGAAGGAUUCUUGAAGAGGUGAUGUUUAAUCUGAGUCUACAAACAAGGGAAGACAUAAAAGAUGUCUUUAAUGGCAAUACUUGGACCACUCAUGUAGUACUUUCUACAUACUAUCCUUUGUGGCUAUACAUGACUAAUAUAUUUGAUAUCUACACUCAGGUCCUAAAGUGUAAGAUGCAUAAAAGUUUGGUCAUUGUUUACUGGUAAAUGUUGGCUGAAUGUGGUGAGAUGUACCAGGGUGGCUGCUGGAUGACUUGUGCCUCUCUCUGGGCGGCUUGGCA